This 89-nucleotide transfer RNA is filed under the name Mesorhizobium huakuii. RNAcentral describes it as "tRNA-Ala". Lineage: Bacteria; Pseudomonadati; Pseudomonadota; Alphaproteobacteria; Hyphomicrobiales; Phyllobacteriaceae. The record is from RNAcentral.
ACGGCGACGUCGUUGAAGGUGCAGAAGCCGGCGCCUUGCGCGCGCCGCGCAUGAUGGCUGCCGCCUGCUGUGUUGCAGGCGAUGCCGUG